Long non-coding RNA from Clupea harengus (Atlantic herring), 2175 nucleotides. The record is from Ensembl. NCBI's taxonomy places the organism in Eukaryota, Metazoa, Chordata, Actinopteri, Clupeiformes, Clupeidae.
UCUCAUCCUCAUUGUGCAGAUCCCGAAUGAAAACCUGUCAGCUUGCAUUCUCUCAGAAGACCAACAGACUCUGAGUGGCCAUAUCCUCCUUCAUGCAGGAUUUCAGCUGGACACUCCAAACUACAAGAAGGGGCCGUUUUAUACAUCUGUGUAGUGGUGUCAGUGUCUUUAUUGUUCCGUAUGAAACAGUAGCUGUACAAGAUGGCUCAUUUUAUUUGCCCAGGCACUACACAGUGUGUUAGCACCAAAUCUGCAAAUACUUCUCCAACUCUUAGAGGAUUGAAUAAGAUCACCACAACUAUGCAACAAUAAUAUAUGUAUAUAUUUUAUAAUAUACAUUUAUAUAUAUAUAUAUAUAGUAAAACACAUUUUUUGGAAAAGGUUAUUUUAAUUGUACGCUGAAGGAGCUAGGUCUAUAGGCUAGCAACUCUCACCACAAUGUGCAGAAAAACGGACAAUGAAGCAGAGAAGUGGCCACUUUGAUAGCCCCUCAGAGCCCAGGGCCUGUACCCCUUUUGUCUCUGCCUUCUGUCUUUGGCUUCCCCAGCCCCCGUCUCUGCCCCCCUCUCACACAGCCAUGGUGAGGCAUCAGGCCCAGGGGUGGGGGGGCAUCCUCAAGGGGGGGUUGGGUGGUUGUUGGUGCCACUAGUAUAUGAUUUGCUCAGGAUCUUAUAGAUGCAGGGGGGGGGGGGGGGUCACAGGUUCCACUUCAACAUGCACUUCUGCUGUGAAGGCCCUGACUGUUGUAACUAAGUUUAUAGGUUACAUUUGAAGCACUUUGAGUUAAUUAUUUGACUACUGAUUUAAGUCAGAGAAAGCUGACAAAAUGUUGUAAAAAGAGUGGGAAUUGAUGGACAGAGUGAUCAUAAGAAGAAAGGAAAGAAGAUUGAGCAAGAGUGACAGGCUCUUUGGUAUGGCAGUCAGAGCACAUACUCAUGUGUAGUGACACAUCGUAGCACAUCGUCACACUGUAUCGUAGCACAUCGUCACACUGCCCUCACCUUCGGGAAGCCACCCUCGCGCUUCACGCACACAGGCUUUCCUCGUGCAUCCACCAACCGUACUUCUCCCAUCCAGAGCGCCCCACACACAAGUGCUUCACCCAUCUAUGGGGUCCCUCACACAGGGGUCAACCUACCUAGGGGUCCCUCACACGGUUUUACGGGCACGCCUCCGAUGACCUCGCGGCAAGCCAUCCGACUUCUGACACCAUUUGUAGCGAAGGAAGAGCAUAGUCACCCCACCCGGACUUAAACCCGGGUCUACAGGGUGCCAAACAUGCACUCUGACCGCAACGCCAAAGAGCCAGGCUCGUUGGUAUGGCAGUCAGAGCACAUACUCAUGUGUAGUGACGGCACAUCGUCACACUAACCUUUGCACUUUAUCCUGCCAAUUAACAGGAGUAUAUCAUUAACAGCGAUCGUAAAACAUGGGUCUUGCUUUAUGGGUUUUUACUUUUUAAGUAGGAAGAAGAUUGCCGAUAGAGCGUGCGAUCACGGCAGUCAGGUGUUUGUGGAAAUGGGCCAGGCGUUUUCCCUAAUUUCUUUCUCUUCUUCAGGAUAGGAGAGAUUGGACUGCAAGGUCUUGAGGUGUGUUGAUGGUAACUUGACAUUUUAACCACGAUUGCUGACUAGUCUCAGUUUAAAAAAAUACAUCUGGUCAUCUAUUAGGUAAGUCUGUACCUUUAAUACUCGAAACCAACAACAUAAACCCUUUAUGGUUAUACAAACCUUUGUUUAGUUCUUCCCUUUGCAAUACUUUCAUGUUCCCUUUCGGGGUGAAUAGUGAAUUCUAACUGAAAGUAAAUGCACCAGUGCAUGCAAAGGAAAAGUAGAAGUGAUUGCUAGGGUAAUUGAGGUGGUUGCUAUGUUUGUUGCUAGGGCAUUGCUUGGUAGUGAUAGUGGUUGCUAUGGUAAUUUAAGUGAUUGCUAAGCUGGAUGCUAGGUAGUUGCUAGUGUAGUCAUGUUGGUUGAAAGUAAGUCAGAAAAAAUAAGACAUAAAAGGUUGGAAAAAUAGUGGGAAUUGAUACACAGAGUGAUCCUAGGAAGAAAGGCAAGAAGAGUGAACGAGAGUGGCUAUGGAUAAAGACAGAGUGAAGAAGGAGUUGUAACCCAGGUUAAAAAAAACAUGAUUUAGUUCAUAAAAAAGUGAAUAAAUAGUUGAAUAAAUAAUAUU